Molecule: non-coding RNA, 88 nt
Organism: Cryptococcus sp. DSM 104548
Source: the annotation of a GenBank genome assembly
GUCCGCGUAGCACAGUGGUAGUGCGCUUGACUACGAUUACUAACACCAUCGGAUCAAGAGGUCGUGGUUUCGAAUACCAUCGUGGAUU